RNAcentral lists this non-coding RNA (30 nucleotides) under Rattus norvegicus (Norway rat). Lineage: Eukaryota; Metazoa; Chordata; Mammalia; Rodentia; Muridae. The record is from RNAcentral.
UGUUGAGAAAAGCAAAAUUUUCCAAAGCCA